RNAcentral lists this ribosomal RNA (497 nucleotides) under uncultured bacterium. RNAcentral's name for it is "partial 16S ribosomal RNA". It matches the Rfam family "Bacterial small subunit ribosomal RNA", at positions 28 to 507 of the family's 1533-position model. The record is from RNAcentral.
GAUGAACGCUGGCGGCGUGCCUAAUACAUGCAAGUCGAGCGAACAGAUAAGGAUCUUGCUCCUUUGACGUUAGCGGCGGACGGGUGAGUAACACGUGGGUAACCUACCUAUAAGACUUGGAUAACUUCGGGAAACCGGAGCUAAUACCGGAUAACAUUUCGAACCGCAUGGUUCUAAAGUGAAAUAUGGGUUUGCUAUCACUUAUAGAUGUAUCCGCUCCGUAUUAGCUAGUUGGUAAGGUAACGGCUUACCAAGGAGCCGAUACGUAGACGACGUCAGAGGCUGAUAGGCCACCCUGGAACUGAACCACGGUCCAGAGUACUAAGAGAGGGAGCAGUAGGCAAUGUGCCGCAGUAGGCGAAAGCCUGACGGAGCAACGGCGAGUGAGAGAUAACGGGGUUCCGCUCGUAAAACUCUGCUAUUAGGGAAGAACAAAUGUGUAAGUAACUGUACACAUCUUGACGGUACCUAAUCAGAAAGCCACGGCUAACUACGUG